GGGAGGGGGGGAGAGAGAGGUGUGCCAAAGUCUCUGCCAGUCCCCGGGCCGGUUCCAGAGCAGCUCUCCCCGAGACAGGCCUGAGCUAGCAGCGGAGUGAGCUCCUAAAAAAUAGGACGACGAAGGGGCGGCUGCAGCCUCUUAAUUCCACUGACGUGGUGGAGCCCGCUGGGCAGCGGAGAAGGAAGCCUGUUUCCAGUUUAUUUAGAGGUUGAGUUUGGUGAUUGGCUCUUUAGGCAUGAAUUAUUCGCGAUUUAUUACUGCAGUGAGUGCAGCAAGAAAAGCAUCUCCAAUAAGAGUCCUCACUGAAUUGAUGCAGAGGUCUCCCCCAUCACUAAUCUCGUUGGCUGGAGGGGCACCAAAUCCGAACACUUUUCCCUUCAAAAAAGCCAGCAUUACCAUUGGCGAUGGAACAUCAGUUGAAAUUGGGGAAGAUUUGAUGAAGAGAGCCCUCCAGUAUUCUGCCUCAGCAGGCAUUCCAGAGCUGCUUUCCUGGUUGGAAGAUUUACAGAAAAGUCUCCACAACCCACCAACGGCUGAGUAUAAGCCUGACAAAGGACAAAUGGCGAUGUGUGUUACCACUGGCAGCCAGGAAGGCUUGUGUAAAGUGUUUGAGAUGCUUAUUAGUCCUGGAGACAACAUCCUUUUGGAUGCACCCACGUAUCCUGGGACACUAGCAGCAUUAAGACCACUGGGCUGCAACAUCAUCAACGUUCCCAGUGACCAACAUGGUAUUAUUCCAAAAGAGCUAAAAGAAAUUCUUUCCAACUGGAAUUCUGAAGAUUCAAAAAAAAGCAACAACAACCUACCCAAAUUUCUGUACACUAUUCCUAAUGGUGGCAAUCCUACUGGAUCUUCACUGACAGUAGAUCGCAAGAAAGAGAUCUAUCAGCUUGCAAGGCAAUAUGAUUUCCUUAUAAUAGAAGAUGAUCCAUAUUAUUUUCUUCAGUUUAAUAAGCCCUGGGCACCAAGCUUCCUUUCAAUGGAUAUUGAUGGCCGAGUUAUCAGGACUGACUCUUUCUCAAAGAUCCUCUCUUCAGGGUUAAGGAUAGGCUUUAUAACUGGUCCCAAGCCUCUCAUUGACAGAGUUAUCCUACAUAUCCAAGUCUCCACAAUGCACACCAGCACUUUCACUCAGCUUAUGACAGCCCAGCUUCUUCAGCAUUGGGGACAAAAGGGUUUCCUGGACAAUGUAGACAGGGUGGUGGAAUUCUAUAAAAAACAGCGGGAUGUAAUGAUUAUUGCCGCAGACAAGUGGCUAAAACACUUAGCAGAGUGGCAUACUCCUACUGCUGGAAUGUUUCUAUGGAUUAAACUUAAGGGAGUUUCUGAUACACAGGAGCUAAUCAUGAAGAAAGCUUUGGAGAAACAAAGAGAUUUCUCUUUAGGUGCUCCUGGUUCCUGGAAGAGCAUUUAACAUUAACAGUUCCGAUCCCAGCUCUUAUGUCAGAGCUUCCUUCUCACUUUCUUCUCCAAUGCAGAUUGAUCAGGGUUUUCAAAGGUUGGCUCAGCUCAUCAAAGAAGCAGAUUGGCUUGACUAAAGAGAAGAAGUCUUAAGAAAAUGAGAGCAUCUAGUAGUAGUAAGAGGAGGAGGAGGAGGAGAAUCAUCAUCAUCUUCAGGAGGAAGUCCAGCUUUUGGAUGUAUUUGAGUUUGUAGCUGUCCAUAGAGUACAGUAUGUUGAUAUGUAUGUAUUAUUCCUCAUGCCAGUGCUGUUGAUAAGGGUGAUAGAUACCUCAAAACAGUGGCUCACAUUCUGCGCACAGUAAUUAUCAGGAGGCCAAUUCAGAUGAGACGCAGCCCAGCACACACACGUAGGACAGGGUCAUGCCAAAAGAACAUUGGAGGCUGUGCUAAUGCACUGUCCAGGCCUUGCUUAAUCACAUGGGGGGGCAUCUGAAUUGCUCCUCUACACAUGUUCAAAAUACCUGUUUAAACAGAUGAUUAAGGGCUGCCCCAAAAGAACAUGGAGACCUCCUCGGGCUCUGAUCCCAUCCUGAUCACAUGUGCUGGGCUGAAUGUACUUUUAACAGGCCAAGUAACAAUAUAGAUUCUGAAAGUUUGAAUAUUGUUUAUCAAAUUAUGUUUUAUGUUUUAUUAAAUGCAAAACAGAUUGCAAGGAA
RNA transcript from Hemicordylus capensis (graceful crag lizard), 2121 nucleotides. It is a transcript of the gene named aminoadipate aminotransferase, with no coding region annotated. NCBI's taxonomy places the organism in Eukaryota, Metazoa, Chordata, Lepidosauria, Squamata, Cordylidae. The transcript has 14 exons. The record is from RefSeq and is a predicted model, not a curated record.